ACCACCAUUCGAAGUAUAUCCACACGAUGGAGCUGUCAAAAAUAGGACUGAGGAAAGAUUUUAAUGAAUGCUUCACCCACUGGAUGGCUUUCGGCUUAAUAGUAGAAGAAAUCCCUUACAAAUGCAGUCAGGGAAAUGAUUUCUGUUGUGACAAGAUGUAGAGCAGAGUCAUGUAGAUGUAAAGAGGGAAGAAAGAAGACACAGAUAUGGAAGGAAAAAGGGAAUGGAAGAGGGACAAAGUUAUGGCUGUAGAGAGGCUGCUCAGAGCCCUCACCAAGGACAGCAAUGGUCAGUGAUUUUAGGAGUACAGAAAGGGGAAGAUGUUAGAUUUAAGCAACGCUAAAGAAAAAUUUGAAUUUAACAGAAUCCUCAGUAAGAGCAAGAAGAGAUGGAAAGUAUGAAGGGAAGUUGAUAAUUCAGAUCGUGAGAUUGUCUGUUUAGGGGAAUAAAGAAGAAAUCCAGAAUGAAAGAGAAUAAGGGAGAGAGAUCUUUGAAACAGUGAGGGUGUGCAUGUAUGUUAAAAGGUAGAGUGGAUAAUGCACUCCAGCAGUUUGCUUGGUAUAAGCUUUGCUUCAUAUUUUAUAGUCAGUGAAAUCUGAGAUGGAGACAGGAGUUCCUGGGGCUACCAGGAAGGUCAUGCUAGGAGCCCCGGGGUUUAGAAAGAUACUGUACACAUGGAGAAGAUCAUUCAAAGAAGAUGUAUAAUUCUCAGUUAAAAGAAAGAAAAGAUCAGUUUUGCACAAUGAGGAAAAGUCUUCAGGUUGAGAUGGAGCUGUCCCAUAUUAACAGGAUCACAGAAAAUGUAGCUUGUGCCCAAAAUUAACAGCACCACCUUCUCUCAGCAUUCAGAAGAACAGUGAGUUAAACUGCUGUAUGCUUGAGCUGGUGGGAUCACCAUCUUCUGCAAUAAAAUACCCAGCUUGCAAUUGAAAAACAGAAGAGAAGACUGUCCUUGGCAAGAAGUCAACGCUGAGAUCUCUGAGCGUAUGCUUUAGCAUGAUGGACAGAUAACAGGCUUGAAGACUCUGCAAGAUCAUCAGUUCAACAGUCGCAGCUUCUGAUAGGGCAUGAGGCAUCUGUGUAGUCUCUUACUCAGCAUCUUUCAGUCAAAUGAAGGCUCAUAUAAUGGCUGAGAAACAUCACUCCCUCCUGCCAGGUCAGUAUUUCUGAGGUUCCUGGUACAGCCGGAGGUGGUGAACUGACAGAAAAGCUUUAGAUGCUCUUUACAGGUAUUCAGCACAACGGGAAUUUUCUGAUCUAAGCAAAAGGAAGAGUGGAUCUGCCUUGCUGCAAAAGUUCUGCCAAUCAGCAUGGAAAAAGCAGAGCCCAGGAAUAAAUGCUAUGAGAACAUAGCACAACAAGCAUGUUGUGGCUUCAGGUACACAAGAAAUUUCAGCAGUGCUAUAAUCUAUUGGAGGUGGGCAUGAAAGAGAAAAAUUGUUUUUUUCUAAGAUGCCUUUAAGUAACCUAGAGAUGUACCCUGGAAGGAGCCAUCCUGACGGGCAGUUUGUCGGUUCUUUUGUUACUUUUACUGCAGCUUCAAGUCCGGAAGCAACCAGAAAUCUCUGGUGUUUCUAUGUUCUUGGCUGCUGACAGGAUUGUUCAUGCAAAUGGCAACAGUAUGUCAGAGCUCUGAAGUGGCUCAGUGGCAGCUGACACUGAGAAGCAAAAUUGCCGUCAUUACUCCUAUGAGAAAGAAUGAAAGAAAGAUUUUAAUGACAACUUUGUCAGCAUUUAGCAAUGCUGUUUUUAAACAGCUUAAAACAUGGUUUCCAAUUUCAAUGAUAUUCAGCCUUUUCUGACCAGAUUCACAGGCUUACAAGCUUCCUAGAAGACCAGUGGUACACAACUGGCAUGAGCCAGAGCCAACAUAUGCCUGUAUUAAGGUGGUACCAUCUGGGCUGAAGCCCAUGGAAAACUCAAAACCAAAAUGACUGAAAUCCUACAAGUUAUCAGUUACUACAUCCCAGGCUGAUCUUAAAUGUAGUUCUUACAAUCAAAACCGUUGUUUUUCUUUGAGAUUUUAUUUAUAAUUUGUUUAGAUUGUUAGCUCAUGGUAUCUAGCAAAAGAAGAAAAAAAAACAGGAACACAAUUUAUAGGUAUGCCUAUAAUAUUCAUUUAAGAUUUUGCAGUGCUGUUUAUAUCCAAAUGUGGACAAAAAGUGUAAAUGAAUUUGUAGUGGUGUCUCCAAUGGACAGCUGCAGAACUACAAAAAUGGAGCUGGGAGCAGGAUGUAGCUCACACUGUUCACAGGAUAGCAAAGAGAAAAGAAGAAGAAAGCAGAAACAAUAAUUAAAAAAAACUCUGGAGAAUGCUGAUGAACAUGGAUUGAUACCACUAAUGCUUCAGGACUAAGGGUAUGAAACAGGACAAUACAAAAAAUUCCAGCCUUGCAUACUUUUGCUUUACAAUAAGAAAUACCAUCUGGUCUAUAGAUAAGAAGUAGGAAUGAAAAGCUGUCUUAGAACUGCUUGUGAGAAGGAAAAUAAUAGUUUGUUAUUUUAUACCAGUCUGUCUUUUGUGCUGAUGUCUCCAAAUAUCACUGCUUGAUUCUUUGAAUUCCCAUUUGUUCUCUUCUGGUGUAGCCGAAAUGCUAAGUCACAGCCUGAACCAGUGAUUGAAUGCCUGGUGGGAAGGCAGGGCCAACCCAGGGCAGCUCAGGUGCAUGCAAUGUACCUGAGUGACCAGAAGGGGUGGAGCCAGGAUCCACCCCUUCCCAGACCUCAUUAAGGGUUGGCAGGGGAGGUAAGGGGAUCUUGCUGGAGAUCUCUGCAUACUUAAGGCUUUUUAAAGGUAAGCAGUUGUUCUUCCUUUGUUUUUGUGUCUAGGGCUGCUGUAUUUUGGUUUGUUCUCAUUUGCUGCAGCCUAGGGUUGUGCUGCUCCACUAUUAUUGCUGUGUUUUUCAUCAUGUUAUAUCAUUACAUCUGGUUUUAUUAUCACGCACAUUGUUAACUAGUUGGAAAAAGUGUAUGUUCCAAACUGUGUUUCUUUCUCUACUACUGUGUGAUUAUUAACUCAGGUAAAUAAGUUUAAGCUAUUCUAGGGCUCAUUAGCAAUCUGCUAGAGAAUGACAGUAACUUACUCGCUUUUAAAAAAUGUUUUUGGAUUCAUGGAGUAAGAACACCAAAUACUAAUUCAAUUUUCUGAGUGAUGGUACUUACUAUUACAGCACCUGCUCUCACACUUCCACCUAUGAGUCAGAGCUGCAGCUUCUGACAGCUGUUCCCAGCCAUCUACAGAAAGAGGUGUUCAAGGGGAAAAAAUGCUUUUUGGUAACUCUGAAAGGGGUCAUAUUUCGUCUGUCAUAUAUUCAUACCACAAUUCAUACCAUCCCUGGAGAACUGGUAUGAAUUCCUUUCAUUCGCUGCCAAAUUGAUUUUACUGCUGACCAAGUAAAGCAUAGCUAUUAACUACAGGUGUUCUAUGACGUUGUUGCUCAGAUUAAGCACAGUCUUCAAUGAGAUUGCAGAGGUACAACCUUGAAAAAUAAGACUCCGUGAUUUAGCUAAUAAUUGUGAUAGACAAAACAGAAAGAGAGUAAUAAUGUAGUAAUCAGAUAUAAAUACAGAGCACGCUUGCUGACAAAGAAAAAUCUGUUUUGAGACAAUUGGUUUUCAGUUUACUUUUGUAUUUGGGAUAACUCUUAUUUGAGUUGUAGUACAUAAUUUUUGUUCUUUUUUCAGGUACUUCAGAGAGGUUAUUGCUUGGUCACAUCAAUGUGUACAUAGGUUUACUUACAAGCAAUGCGCACAGCCUUUACAAACUGAGAGUGAACAAGUUCACAUAUAGGGAAAAUAUCUAUGGUGUAUUUUUUCCAUAUAUAUAUUCUCAUUUUAGUUGUACAGAUACAGACAGUACGUAUAUACUACCUCUAUUCUGUAUCUGUAUAGAUAUAGAAAGUCUAAACAGACAAAGGCCACUGGAACGGGCUGCCCAGAAAAGUGGUAGAGUCUAUCCUGGAGGUAUUUAUGAGACUUGUGCAUACUGUGCUUAGAGACAUAGGUUAGUGGUGGACUUGGUGGUGUUAUGUAAUGAUCAGACUUGAUGAUCUUCUGGGCCUUUUCCAACCUAAGUUAUAUAUAUAUAUAAAAUCAUAAAAUAUGGAUAAUAUAUAUAAUUGGGAGCUGCAUAAAAUUGCCCAUAGGUAUAUUUUUAUCUAACUGUAAGAUCUGAAAAUCAAGCUCAAACUGUGCAUUUGAAUUUUAAUACCGUAUUCUGUAUCCUAAAGGGUCCCCAGGGUUCUAUACAGCAAAUUUUACACUGGUAUGAAUUCUUCUGCGGAGUCACCAGCCUUGCAGCGAUUUGUUUGUUAGAGAGAUCAAAGUAUGGGAAGAUAGCAAGAGAGCUUCUACAUCAUCCCUACCUGCCCAACCUCCAUGGAUUUUGCACAAAGUGUGUCCAUCAUUUAAGUCUAUGCAGAAAUGGGGAAAGAAUUUCAUAUAAACAGCUAAUAUUCAACAUCACCAAAAACCACCAUCGUUAUUUUUGCAAGAUUUCAUCCAUAUCCACUGAUUCCUUGAUUUGGGGGGAGGAGGAAAGAGGGAUUUUUUUUUUCCUCAAAAACUUGUAUAUAACAGCUUAAAUGCAAAUCAGCUGCUGGCCUGACAGAGCUGUGCUGUUUAUUAGUGUAGACAAUCAGUUAUGCUAUUCAUGUAUUGUCUUCACUUAGAAACUGCAUUUAUGGGUGAAAACACCAGUGGGGAUUUGGAUGAAGAGAAAUCUUUGAUCUUACUCCAGGACAGACUGUGUCUGUGCUAGAAUGUCAAGCAGGUAGUGUUAUGCUAAUAAUUAAAUUGAAACACCUCUGGAAGUAAAAGUGAAAUUCCUAGUAAACUACUAGCGAAUACUUACGUUACAGUGAAUAUAAAUGCACAAAUAUUUCAGUAAUGGCCAUUCUGGCAUAGAAACACGAGGGGGUUGGGGGGGACAACAAACCAGGAAUUACGUCAUACUCUGUAACUGUAUUAUCUGGUCUAGCUCAGGGACUAAUCUAGCAGGGCCACAAUGUACCCUUUGCACACCAAGUCUCUCCUUCAGGCUGUCUUGAUGCAGGGGUACGCCCUUCGGCUUAGGUGCCAUUCCUACCCAAAGUCAAGACAGAGUUUGUAUCUGCAUCUGGUCUAAGUCUCUGGCUCCAACAGCUCAAAAUUCCACCACUGCACCCAGCUUGUGUUCUUAUCCUUCCAUUUGCUUGCGGAUGCAAUGGGAUUUCUCUAACACUGGAACAGUCUCCAAUGCUGCAAUCCUAAAUUCCAGAAAUUGGAUAUAAAUUUACUUAUGUAAUCAUAAAUGCCUGCUCCAAUUUUUUUUCUGAAGUUAGUGAUAGUUCUAACACUGGUGACUUCAUAGGAUCUUAGCAUUUAAAGGCAAAAGUCUGCAAUGCUAUUACAAUGGAUGGGCUCUGAGCAUGUUACAUAGGCCACUUCAUUUCUCUGUAGAUAUAAACAGAGAGCUGAACAUGCCAAUCUAUUUUAGCUACGGGCAAAAGGUCAAUAGCUAUUCUCUUUCGUUUAAUGGAAAGAAAGCAUGAAGGACUAUGAUUUAGCCCUGCUAUCUCUGCACUAGUUUAAUUACAGUUAAAAUGAACAAAUCCCAAGUUCACAAGCAGCACUCACUUCAAGAAGAAAUCAUUUUUCUUUCUCAUUACUUUUGGUAAGCAGUUGAACUAACUAAAACUUUUAACAAAGCUUGUUUGAUAACAGUGACAUUUAAUAGUGAUAAAGCUGAGUGAAGCUCUGCUAAUACAGCUGAAGAUGAAAACUCAGGAUUUUCAAAGGGAAUGUUCUGAAGAUGCAAAUGUUUAUAUUUAAUACAGUAUUUUAGGUGCUGAACCUUCAGCGUUUUCAGCAACUUCUGAAGAUGCUGCGAAGCACUGAUUAAUUUAUUUAGUGUCUCAAGAGGGCAAGAAUGACUAUAGUUGACUGGUUGCUGCACUCAUACUCAAGUUGGACGAGAAGGAAGUAUUCUAGGUUUGGAUUCCUUGUUGAUGCAGAGUUACUAAGAAACACAGUCUUGACACUGUCACUUGCUGUAACCAUGUGGUUCCUAUAUUUUGCCUAAUUCUUGAAUAAGCAAUGAACACAGGAAAAUGUUUCUGUCCAGCGUCUGUGUAAUUACUGGCAACACCAAGAGAAGUCAAGGAAAUUCUGUUGUAGGUGAUGAUAGGGAAAUUUGCAGUGUGAAAGUGCUUCAAGAAAGGGAAGGAGAAGAACUUGGGCUUCUGGCAGCCCCAACUGUUAAAUCAGUAGUUAAAAGAGAAAUGCAAUGCAGAAGGAUCAUCAUAUUGCCUUAAUAUGAAACUUACCUUGUCAGAAUACAUGUCCGUUAGCACACUAAAGACCAGGGGCAAGGAAAUGUGAAGUCUAACCAUGGGCACUGGGGAACUCAAGGCUCUGCCCUUCAUCUUUAUUGCACUACGAUUUUGCUGGUGGAAACCAUAAUGUCCAGAAAUUUUAUAAACCUCCAGGAGAUGUGGCAAACAAAUGGGACAAUGAAGGGUUUAUUUUUUAACUUAAUGCUGGGCCUUUAGGCAGUACUAAAAUUUCUACAUGUUUUGUAGAUGUAGUUCUUAAUUAUUAUUUGAUAAUAUAAAACAUUAUUCAAUUAUUUAUAAUAAAAUAUGUAAUAAUAGUAACAUUUAAUUUCUUAAAUGUGGUUUCUUAAUAAUUAUAUCAUUAUGAUUUAUUUAGGGAAACUACAGCUGUUAAUAAUAAACAGUCUUCCUCUGCCCAUCAUACUAAGACCUUCAAACUGGUACCUCAAAUCUAGCCAACUUAGGAAGGUGUGAAAAAAAUUCUUUACUUGGGUGUUUUUAAAACAAGGCUACUGAAUGGGGAAAAUAAGCACAAGCACUUCUCUAAUGAAUUGAGUAAGACAGCCUCUACUUCGUUUUAAAAAGACCAAAAGAAAAUCUCACAGUUAAUAGCUCUACUUUGGCAGAAAAGAGAGGCAGAGAUUAAUGUGACAUUCUGCUGGUACAAGCCUGCGUGUAUGAAAGGGAGAGUGAUUACAUCCCAUAAUGAAACUAGACAAAAUUAUAUAUUUCUACUCACUGUGGAUAAAAGGCAGAGAGGAAAAAAAAAUCUUUCUUAUUGAACUAAAUUUUCCAGGACAGUGAGUUAGUGCAUUCCUAAACAACAUUCUAGCAGUAUUUCUCCAUUUCGUAUCUUCUCUUGCAAUAUUUAUUCUUGCAUAUUUCCCUGCAUAUGAGGUAAUCUGUAUAUUAGUUUUAUCUGUGUAUAUAUAUUUGUCACGAGGAAAGAUUCCUAUCUCUCAGUACUUCUGAAAUAACUACGCAGACCUGUUGUGAAGAGUAACACUUCC
Molecule: long non-coding RNA, 7324 nt
Organism: Numida meleagris (helmeted guineafowl)
Lineage: Eukaryota; Metazoa; Chordata; Aves; Galliformes; Numididae
Exons: 4
Source: RefSeq, a predicted model, not a curated record